Molecule: small nuclear RNA, 107 nt
Organism: Suricata suricatta (meerkat)
Lineage: Eukaryota; Metazoa; Chordata; Mammalia; Carnivora; Herpestidae
Source: Ensembl
CUGCUCACUUCAGCAGCACAUAUACUAAAAUUGGAGAGAUACAGAGAUGAUUGGCACAGUUCCUGCAGAAGAAUGACACACAAAUUCUUGAAGUGUCCCAGAUUUAA